This 521-nucleotide long non-coding RNA is filed under the name Olea europaea subsp. europaea. The record is from RNAcentral. Lineage: Eukaryota; Viridiplantae; Streptophyta; Magnoliopsida; Lamiales; Oleaceae.
CAAUAGUUAUUACUUAUACAAUUAAAAAUUACAAACUCAUUCUAUUUCUGUCUUCUCAAGUCUAAUAUCUCUACAACUCUAAACCAAGGUCUCGGGUGUUUACCUCCUCCAGAGAAUUCAACAUCCCCUUUUUUGGACAUUAAAACCAUUCAUUUAACUAUUAUUGCAUUUGAAAGAAAUAACUAGUUCCAAAGAACAAAAUGUAAUAUUACUCCUAGGAAAGUAAGAGAAAAACCUCACCUGACCCCCCUAGAGAGAACACAACGUGAAUCUCCAGCAUUUGCAACAAGAAGUUGAUUAUUUUGGACGACUGCAACGCAAGCUGUGCAUCCAGCAGAUGGUCCAUAGUAAUUAAAGAGAGCUCCCUACAUUCACAAAUAUAUUUAGCAGGAAUUUAUGAGAUAAAAAUGCAGCCAAAAGAAAAUUACAACACGUCUAAACAAUCAUUCACCAUGUUCAAUUUGGUCCAGUUGAAGUUAGACCAGAUCUCUUUUCCAGUGAUGUAGUGAAUGCAAUCCUAU